This 1190-nucleotide long non-coding RNA is filed under the name Sus scrofa (pig). RNAcentral's name for it is "lncRNA (ENSSSCG00015063894.1)". Lineage: Eukaryota; Metazoa; Chordata; Mammalia; Artiodactyla; Suidae. The record is from RNAcentral.
AAUGUUUCCAGGGUAGCCUACCUUCUCCUGGGACUUUUGCAUCCAUUGCGUACUGCAAGGCCCCUUCUGAGAGCUGAUGGUAGUUCCUUUCAGAAAAACAAACAAAACUGCAUGACCCUGAAAGAGAUCUGAGGUCUGGGGUCCAGAGACAAUCUGCUUCUGAAGCAGCUUCAGUUUCAAAGGAAGUAGAUUCUACGACAUGGAAUUUCUUUAAGAUCAUCCAAGGCCUCAGUUUUCAGUACCUGGCUGUUAACUGUCAGUCUUCAUACAGUUCAUUGUCCUAUUUGGUCUUAACAAUUUUGUGAGAUUCAUCAGAAUUCAGGGGGUUACAAAUGCAGCAACAGACCACCCGUAUCUUCAAGGGCAUUCUAGUAAAUGUUCACUUAAAGGGAACUCUGUGCCAAGCACUAUACAACGUACAGGGGAUGUAUGAAUGAAAGAGUGACUGAAAAUUCCACUUUGGAAAUUUCUGAGCCGGUGUCAAAGCCUGUCAGGAUACUGCCUCUUGAUGCCAAGAACACAUCAUUUAUCAACAGUGGUGAGUCAUUUGUGAGCUGAUCUGACCUGUCGGCGGCUGAGGAGUAGUCGCAGCUUUUAUCUUUAGCUACUGUUGCUGGCUGUGGGAAUGGUACCAUCCAUCCAUUUGUAAUCAAACACAAUGUACCAAGCAAUUUCUUAAAAAGCCAACACCUUGGCUGAACAGCUAAGGGUGGAAGAGAGUGAUGGGGAGGAAGGGAAAUGGAUUCUUUUUUUAGCACCUACUUUGGAUCAGACAUUCUCCUAGACACUUUAUAACCUUAUCUCAUUUAAUUCUUACAGCAGCCUUGUGGAGUAGGUGCUAUUAUCUCCGGGUGUGGAUAAGGAAAUUGAACUUCAGAGACAUAAAGUAACUUAGCCAAGGUCACACAGUGAGUAAUCAGGGCUGGAGUCUGGAUUUGCACUCAAGGGCCACAGGCUAUUUUGAUGCUAUGAAGACAUAGAGAGUAAGGUGAGAUAAUUUUAACAUGAGGAUUCUCAAGCCAGAUGUCCCCAAAUGUCCUCUAAUAUAGAGAUGACUUGGGUAGGUGAUUUACACCUGUGGUUCUGAAGGAUUUACAUGAGGCUGGUAGGACUGGAAACCAGAACUGCUUCAGCGGUAUGCUCAGUGAGUGCAAAAUAAAUAAAUGAAGUGAGUUUUUAAAUUCUUGGAC